GAAGAAGGCCUUAGGGUUGUAAAGUUCUUUUGUCAGGGAAGAAAAGGCUUGUGCUAAUAUCACAAGCUGCUGACGGUACCUGAAGAAUAAGCACCGGCUAACUACGUGCCAGCAGCCGCGGUAAUACGUAGGGUGCAAGCGUUAAUCGGAAUUACUGGGCGUGAAGGGCGCGUAGGCGGCCCUGUCAGUCGGGUGUGAAAGCCCGGGGCUCAACCCCGGAACGGCACCCGAGACGGCAGGGCUGGAGACCGGGAGAGGAGGGUGGAAUAGCCAGUGUAGAGGUGAAAUUCUUAGAUAUUGGCUGGAACACCGGUGGCGAAAGCGGCUCUCUGGCCCGGUUCUGACGCUGAGGCGCGAAAGCGUGGGGAGCAAACAGGAUUAGAUACCCUGGUAGUCCACGCCCUAAACGAUGUGUGCUGGGCGUCGGGGGGCUUGCCCCUCGGUGCCGGAGCUAACGCGGUAAGCACACCGCCUGGGGAGUACGGCCGCAAGGUUAAAACUCAAAGGAAUUGACGGAAUC
RNAcentral lists this ribosomal RNA (520 nucleotides) under uncultured bacterium. RNAcentral's name for it is "bacterial SSU rRNA". It matches the Rfam family "Bacterial small subunit ribosomal RNA", at positions 407 to 920 of the family's 1533-position model. The record is from RNAcentral.